AUACGGAAGGUCCGGGCGUUAUCCGGAUUUAUUGGGUUUAAAGGGAGCGCAGGCGGCCUUUUAAGCGUGACGUGAAAUGUAGGCGCUCAACGUCUGAAUUGCGUCGCGAACUGUUAGGCUUGAGUAGACGGAAUGUCGGCGGAAUUCGUGGUGUAGCGGUGAAGUGCUUAGAUAUCACGAAGAACUCCGAUUGCGAAGGCAGCUGACAGCAGUUUUACUGACGCUCAUGCUCGAAAGUGCGGGUAUCGAACAGGAUUAGAUACCCUGGUAGUCCGCACGGUAAACGAUGGAUGCCCGCUGUUUGCUCUUGAAGUAAGCGGCCAAGCGAAAGCAUUAAGCAUCCCACCUGGGGAGUACGCCGGCAACGGUGAAACUCAAAUGAAUUGACGGGG
Molecule: ribosomal RNA, 392 nt
Filed under: uncultured bacterium
Lineage: Bacteria
Description: partial 16S ribosomal RNA
Rfam family: Bacterial small subunit ribosomal RNA
Source: RNAcentral